ACUGCCGUGAACGGUGGGACUGGGAAUUCCGGUUGCUCCUCAUUUGUGUCAAGCGUCUAAGAGGAAGAACGGAGUAAGACAAAAUUAGGCAUGAGAGUCAAGAGUACUGGUAUCUCCUGUGCUUAGUCCAAGAGCCCUACUGGAAUUGGGGAAGGUUAAGCCUCAGGGGAAUUGCAAGGAUGCUGAUAACAACAGUGAACACUUUUCAAUGGCUUCAGCAGCAAAGAGAAGCCUUCUGGGAGAUGAGGUGACAUAAAGAAGAGGCCAAGAAGCAAGAGAAAGCUAUUGAUU
Long non-coding RNA from Fukomys damarensis (Damara mole-rat), 291 nucleotides. RefSeq lists it as uncharacterized. The transcript has 3 exons. Lineage: Eukaryota; Metazoa; Chordata; Mammalia; Rodentia; Bathyergidae. The record is from RefSeq and is a predicted model, not a curated record.